This 337-nucleotide ribosomal RNA is filed under the name uncultured Bacillota bacterium. RNAcentral's name for it is "bacterial SSU rRNA". It matches the Rfam family "Bacterial small subunit ribosomal RNA", at positions 28 to 351 of the family's 1533-position model. Lineage: Bacteria; Bacillati; Bacillota. The record is from RNAcentral.
GACGAACGCUGGCGGCGUGCCUAAUACAUGCAAGUCGAACGGACCUUGGAGUUAGCUUGCUAACUUCUUGGUUAGUGGCGGACGGGUGAGUAACACGUAGGCAACCUGCCCUCAAGAUCGGGAUAACAUUCGGAAACGAAUGCUAAGACCGGAUAAACAUUCUUCUCGCAUGAGAGGGAUGGGAAACACGGUGUAAGCUGUGGCUUGGGGAUGGGCCUGCGGCGCAUUAGCUAGUUGGUGGGGUAAAGGCUCACCAAGGCGACGAUGCGUAGCCGACCUGAGAGGGUGAACGGCCACACUGGGACUGAGACACGGCCCAGACUCCUACGGGUGGCAG